Molecule: long non-coding RNA, 1837 nt
Filed under: Homo sapiens (human)
Lineage: Eukaryota; Metazoa; Chordata; Mammalia; Primates; Hominidae
Description: HSALNT0100679
Source: RNAcentral
AGGCUAAAUAAGUAUUCAAUUUGCUAUCUUUAAAUGUUCUUAUACAUUUACGACCAGUAGUAAAACAGUUCUUAACACUUUAAAAAUUUUUUGAAGAUUAUGAAACAAUCAUAAUUUUCCUUGUUGCUUCUUAAAAUUGCUUCACAGUUUCAACCUGCACAAUCAUUUCUUCAGUCCCACACUUUCGUGCAAAGCAAAGACUUUACAAUGCUGUGAUGUUGUAAAGAAAAUUCCCGUUGUCCUACUCUGAAUCAUUUGACAAAUGCAACUGAACCCACCACGAUGGAGUUGUGUAAUACCAAGGUUACAUGAAUCUUUCUCUCACAUAGUUUGCAGUUGAGGAAGAGGGAUGGCAAGUCAACCAACAUAAUGGUUAAGGCUGACAUUGAUUGAUAGCUUUCUGUGUGCUGGGCACUGUGCUGGUCCUUUUGUUACAGUGCAUUGCCUCCAAGGUGGAGCUUUAGGAGGGGGAUGAUAAUGAAAACUUCGGAGACCAUGGGGACUUCAUCCUUUAGAGCUUGGGUCCUCGUGCCUGUGUGUGAAGAAAGGCCCAGCCAGGAAGGCAGCGUCCCUCUUUUCUGCCCACACCUACAGGCUCCCAAGGCAGGGCCAAGGUGGAUGUGAGGCCUGAGACGGGAACUCAACACAGCAGUCCCCUGUCAUAAGGACAAGACUGGAAGUUGGCCAAGGUUUGCCAGCAUAUCAUCGCAUAAGAUGCAAAUGCCCGGGGAUUCUUCUAACGUGGUGUUAGGCAGAUGUACUUCAUAUCUUCUCCCUGUUUAUCUAAUUUCAUGAAGGCACAUUUCAGGAGAGUAAGCUGCCGCAAAGGGUAUACAUUGUGCCUUGGAAAACUCCCGGGCAUGAAAACUAUAAACCAGCCAUCCAAAUUACCUUCACAUUUAGGAAAUCAUUACUGUUGAUACGAUGUGUCUUUGUUGGAUCGUUGUAUCUUGGCAGUCUCUUCGAGCCUGUGCUUUUUAGCCUUCUCUCCACCUGUACUUUUAGGCAUUGCUUACUUUUUUAUAGGCAAAAAGAUUACAUAUGUGCACAUGUGUGUGGCUACAUGUGGGUAAAUAUGUAUGUAUCGGUAGGGGUACUGUAUUAGUAGCUGGGGCUGCCAUAAUAAAAUACCACAGAUGCGGCAGCUUACACAACGGAGCUUUAUUCCCUCGCAGUGCUGGGGGCUGGAAGCCCCACAUCCAGGUGUGGGCGGGAUUGGUUUCUCCUGAGGCCUCCCUCCUGGGCUUGCAGAUGGUGUCCUCUCCCUGUGUCCUCACACCGUCUUCCCUCUGUGGGUGUCUGUGUCCUCAUCUCCUCUUCCUAUAAGGACUCCUGACAUAUUGGAUUAGAGCCCAUUCUAAUGCCUUCGUUUUACCUUAAUUAUCUUUUUAAAGGCCUCAUCUCCAAAUACAGUCCCAGUCUGAGGUAUGAGGAGGUUAGGGCUUCAAAUAUGAAUUUUGAGGGACACAUUUCAGAUUAUAACAGAUACAUACAUAUGUAUAUCCUAUAAAUGAAAAUGUCAGGACGGAUUUUAGAGAUACAAGUUUUUACUUAAUUAUGAUCCCCCAGCGAUCUCAUCUCCUCUUAGUCUCAAUUUUUCUUGUCUAAGAGAGGGUGCUCCUACCCACAUCUUCAGUCCAAAUCCCUCUCCUGAAGGUCGGACCCGCAUUUGCAGUGACGGUGACUGGACAUUUUCUCCCAGGUGUUCGUCAACACUUUCAGCCCUACAGGUCUGAAACAAAACUUACCCACCUCCAGUGAAGCUCGUCCUCCUGGCCUUUCUGCUUCCUUUUUAAAGUCCAUCCCCCUCCAGGCCUCCCAUUACCGGCUGGGAGCC